GCCCAUGUAGCUCAGGGGUAGAGCACUCCCUUGGUAAGGGAGAGGUCGGCAGUUCAAUUCUGCCUAUGGGCACCA
This 75-nucleotide transfer RNA is filed under the name Neisseriaceae bacterium. RNAcentral describes it as "tRNA-Thr(ggt)". It matches the Rfam family "tRNA". Rfam says of the family: Transfer RNA (tRNA) molecules are approximately 80 nucleotides in length. RNAcentral also lists the same sequence under 2 other names. Lineage: Bacteria; Pseudomonadati; Pseudomonadota; Betaproteobacteria; Neisseriales; Neisseriaceae. The record is from RNAcentral.